This 162-nucleotide ribosomal RNA is filed under the name uncultured Bacteroidota bacterium. Its description in RNAcentral is "uncultured Bacteroidetes bacterium partial 16S ribosomal RNA". It matches the Rfam family "Bacterial small subunit ribosomal RNA", at positions 362 to 522 of the family's 1533-position model. Lineage: Bacteria; Pseudomonadati; Bacteroidota. The record is from RNAcentral.
UAUUGCGCAAUGGAGGAAACUCUGACGCAGCCUGCCGCGUGCAGGAUGAAUGCCCUAUGGGUUGUAAACUGCUUUUCUGCAAGAAGAAACCUUAGUACGUGUACUAAGUUGACGGUACUGCAGGAAUAAGCACCGGCUAACUCCGUGCCAGCAGCCGCGGUA